CCUACGGGAGGCAGCAGUGGGGAAUAUUGGGCAAUGGAGGAAACUCUGACCCAGCGACGCCGCGUGCGGGAUGAAAGCCUUCGGGUUGUAAACCGCUUUCAGUAGGGAAGAAGCGAAAGUGACGGUACCUACAAAAGAAGCACCGGCUAACUAUGUGCCAGCAGCCGCGGUAAUACAUAGGGUGCAAGCGUUGUCCGGAAUUAUUGGGCGUAAAGAGCUCGUAGGUCGUUUGUUACGUCGGAUGUGAAAACCUGAGGCUCAACCUCAGGCCUGCAUUCGAUACGGGCAAACUAGAGUUUGGUAGGGGAGACUGGAAUUCCUGGUGUAGCGGUGGAAUGCGCAGAUAUCAGGAGGAACACCAAUGGCGAAGGCAGGUCUCUGGGCCAAUACUGACACUGAGGAGCGAAAGUCUGGGGAGCGAACAGGAUUAGAUACCCUGGUAGUCCAGACCGUAAACGGUGGGCACUAGUUGUGGGAACCUUCCACGGUUUCUGCGACGCAGCUAACGCAUUAAGUGCCCCGCCUGGGGAGUACGAUCGCAAGAUUAAAACUCAAAGGAAUUGACGG
This 567-nucleotide ribosomal RNA is filed under the name uncultured Actinomycetes bacterium. Its description in RNAcentral is "bacterial SSU rRNA". It matches the Rfam family "Bacterial small subunit ribosomal RNA", at positions 338 to 916 of the family's 1533-position model. Lineage: Bacteria; Bacillati; Actinomycetota; Actinomycetes. The record is from RNAcentral.